AUUAUUGGGCGUAAAGAGCUCGUAGGCGGUUUGUCGCGUCUGCUGUGAAAACUGGAGGCUCAACCUCCAGCCUGCAGUGGGUACGGGCAGACUAGAGUGCGGUAGGGGAGAUUGGAAUUCCUGGUGUAGCGGUGGAAUGCGCAGAUAUCAGGAGGAACACCGAUGGCGAAGGCAGAUCUCUGGGCCGUAACUGACGCUGAGGAGCGAAAGCAUGGGGAGCGAACAGGAUUAGAUACCCUGGUAGUCCAUGCCGUAAACGUUGGGAACUAGAUGUAGGGACCAUUCCACGGUUUCUGUGUCGCAGCUAACGCAUUAAGUUCCCCGCCUGGGGAGUACGGCCGCAAGGCUAAAACUCAAAGGAAUUGACGGGGGCCCGCACAAGCGGCGGAGCAUGCGGAUUAAUUCGAUGCAACGCGAAGAACCUUACCAAGACUUGACAUAUACGAGAACGGGCUAGAAAUAGUUCACUCUUUGGACACUCGUAAACAGGUGGUGCAUGGUUGUCGUCAGCUCGUGUCGUGAGAUGUUGGGUUAAGUCCCGCAACGAGCGCAACCCUCGUUCUUUGUUGCCAGCACGUUAUGGUGGGAACUCAAAGGAGACUGCCGGGGUCAACUCGGAGGAAGGUGGGGAUGACGUCAAAUCAUCAUGCCCCUUAUGUCUUGGGCUUCACGCAUGCUACAAUGGCCGAUACAAAGGGCUGCGAUACCGCAAGGUGGAGCGAAUCCCAAAAAGUCGGUCUCAGUUCGGAUUGAGGUCUGCAACUCGACCUCAUGAAGUCGGAGUCGCUAGUAAUCGCAGAUCAGCAACGCUGCGGUGAAUACGUUCCCGGGCCUUGUACACACCGCCCGUCAAGUCAUGAAAGUCGGUAACACCCGAAGCCAGUGGCCUAACCCGCAAGGGGAGGAGCUGUCGAAUGG
This 918-nucleotide ribosomal RNA is filed under the name Leifsonia sp. DAB_ST84. RNAcentral describes it as "bacterial SSU rRNA". It matches the Rfam family "Bacterial small subunit ribosomal RNA", at positions 550 to 1462 of the family's 1533-position model. Lineage: Bacteria; Bacillati; Actinomycetota; Actinomycetes; Micrococcales; Microbacteriaceae. The record is from RNAcentral.